Molecule: ribosomal RNA, 602 nt
Filed under: uncultured bacterium
Lineage: Bacteria
Description: bacterial SSU rRNA
Rfam family: Bacterial small subunit ribosomal RNA
Source: RNAcentral
GGGUUUGAUUAUGGCUCAGAUUGAACGCUGGCGGAAUGCUUUACACAUGCAAGUCGAACGGUAGAGGGGGCAACCCCUUGAGAGUGGCGAACGGGUGAGUAAUAUAUCGGAACGUGCCCAGUCGUGGGGGAUAACGUAGCGAAAGUUACGCUAAUACCGCAUACGAUCUAAGGAUGAAAGCGGGGGAUCGCAAGACCUCGCGCGAUUGGAGCGGCCGAUAUCAGAUUAGGUAGUUGGUGGGGUAAAGGCUCACCAAGCCAACGAUCUGUAGCUGGUCUGAGAGGACGACCAGCCACACUGGAACUGAGACACGGUCCAGACUCCUACGGGAGGCAGCAGUGGGGAAUUUUGGACAAUGGACGAAAGUCUGAUCCAGCCAUUCCGCGUGCAGGAUGAAGGCCCUCGGGUUGUAAACUGCUUUUGUACGGAACGAAAAGGUUUCUAUUAAUACUAGGAGCUCAUGACGGUACCGUAAGAAUAAGCACCGGCUAACUACGUGCCAGCAGCCGCGGUAAUACGUAGGGUGCAAGCGUUAAUCGGAAUUACUGGGCGUAAAGCGUGCGCAGGCGGUUAUAUAAGACAGAUGUGAAAUCCCCGGGCUC